Molecule: long non-coding RNA, 860 nt
Organism: Hemicordylus capensis (graceful crag lizard)
Lineage: Eukaryota; Metazoa; Chordata; Lepidosauria; Squamata; Cordylidae
Exons: 4
Source: RefSeq, a predicted model, not a curated record
GGAGGAGGAGCCUGUAAUGGUUAAGGUCAGUUGGAAUGCAACUGCUACUGGUCGGAAGAUGCAACUGCUACUGGUCGGAAGAUGUGCUUGAUUGUACAGGAGAGAAUAAUAUUUUAUUACCAAGGGUAUUUAUAGAUUACUUUUCAACAAAGAAAGUUCAAGAGGUUUACAUGGCAAAAAGGAACAACAGCUUCCUGACUUACGAUCUGAAAAGAAACACGAGGGAAGCAGCAGCAACCAACACUGGGACCGGUAGAAACACUAUGCUGGACUGAAAGUCAGUUGUCCCCUGCCACCCAGAUAUAUGUAAGAGAGCCACCACAUUUAGAAUGUGCAUCUUUGCUCAAUUAGCAAAAGGCACACCUCAGUGGAGUUUAUUGUGUUUCUCCAAUGGGAUUCCAUCCAGGAAACAAUUAAGUCUUCAACAGUACUAGAACACCAGAUGCUCCCAGACUAUCAGAGGGCCUGUAGAUGAAAAGGUGGCACAGUAUCCUAAAGCUGGAUCCCAAAAUUUUGUGAGCUGAUCUGAGCAGUAGUGUGCUGAAGAGGCAAGGUAUAAACAUUUUAAAUAAAAUAAAUACUCUGGUCUCUUCAAGGGCUGGGCCCUGAAGCAUUAAGAAAGCAUUGGACUGGAUGCCUCUUGCUACUUCACCUUUGUGACAAGAGGUAUGGUCAACACACAGUAACAUGGAAGGGAUGAAUAUAAUACAAGUAUGAGAUGAUACAAUGCAAGACGACAUAUUUGGCAUCUAUCAAACAGAUUCCAGAACUGGCGGCACGAAAACAGGAAUCAACAAGAUUAAAGAAAGUCAAAAGCAGAGCAAAGGAUCAAAGUUGGGCCCAUUUAAAUGAAUAGGUAU